RNAcentral lists this ribosomal RNA (253 nucleotides) under uncultured bacterium. Its description in RNAcentral is "partial 16S ribosomal RNA". It matches the Rfam family "Bacterial small subunit ribosomal RNA", at positions 524 to 776 of the family's 1533-position model. The record is from RNAcentral.
UACGGUGGGGGCAAGCGUUGUUCGGAAUUACUGGGCGUAAAGGGCUCGUAGGUGGCCAACUAAGUCAGACGUGAAAUCCCUCAGCUUAACUGGGGAACUGCGUCUGAGACUGAUGAGCUCGAGUGCAGGAGAGGAACGCGGAAUUCCAGGUGUAGCGGUGAAAUGCGUAGAUAUCUGGAGGAACACCGGUGGCGAAGGCGGCGUUCUGGACUGCAACUGACACUGAGGAACGAAAGCCAGGGGAGCAAACGGG